RNA transcript from Cavia porcellus (domestic guinea pig), 6574 nucleotides. It is a transcript of the gene named polycomb group ring finger 5, with no coding region annotated. The record is from RefSeq and is a predicted model, not a curated record. Lineage: Eukaryota; Metazoa; Chordata; Mammalia; Rodentia; Caviidae. The transcript has 11 exons.
CUGUCGGCCCGAGCCUAGUGGCCCCGCGGAGCGGCGCGCUCACGCCUGCAGGGGGAGGGCGGACCGGGAGCGGGACCGGCCAGGCCGCGGCGGGCGCUGUUUCUCUUUCACUUUCCUUCGGAGGCCGGCGCGCUGGCGGGCAAGGAGCGGCGGCGGCGGCCCGGGCUAUGGGAAAGCAGAACCCCCAAAAGGAGUGAUGAACAGCAGUCUCGUGAUAAAUCUGGAUGUUAGUUCUCAUGUCUCAGAAUAUCAGAUUGGGAACCGCUGCACCAGCUCCUGGGAUCAGACUUUUCAUCCGCUUACUCCCCCUCUUUGCCUGAACUACUACUAAGCCAGCUCACUGCGAAUGGCUACCCAAAGGAAACACUUGGUGAAAGAUUUUAAUCCUUACAUUACCUGCUAUAUUUGUAAAGGGUAUCUGAUCAAGCCAACUACUGUGACAGAAUGUCUUCAUACCUUCUGCAAGACUUGUAUUGUUCAGCACUUUGAAGAUAGCAAUGAUUGUCCCAGGUGUGGCAACCAAGUUCAUGAGACAAAUCCAUUAGAAAUGUUGAGGUUGGAUAAUACAUUGGAGGAAAUUAUAUUUAAGCUGGUUCCUGGACUGCGAGAACAAGAACUUGAGCGUGAAUCUGAGUUUUGGAAGAAAAAUAAGCCUCAAGAAAAUGGACAAGAUACUUCGAAAGUGGACAAGCCUAAAGCAGAUGAAGAAGGUGAUGAAAAUCAGGAUGAUAAAGACUAUCAUAGAAGUGACCCACAAAUUGCUAUCUGUCUAGAUUGUUUACGAAAUAAUGGACAAUCAGGAGACAAUGUAGUCAAGGGUCUAAUGAAGAAAUUCAUUCGAUGUUCUACACGUGUAACUGUGGGAACUAUUAAAAAAUUUCUAAGUUUAAAACUAAAACUUCCAAGUUCUUAUGAGUUGGAUGUACUGUGCAAUGGUGAAAUUAUGGGAAAGGAUCAUACUAUGGAAUUCAUCUAUAUGACAAGAUGGCGACUAAGAGGAGAAAACGUAUCUCCUUCACUUUGAAAGUAUAAAAUCAGGUCUAAAGGUUUCGGUGUCUGAACUGCUCAGCUUCGCAAGUCUGCUCUCAGGAUGGCCCUUUGUAUCAGUCAUACCCUAUGGUAUUGCAGUAUCGACCAAGAAUUGAUUUCGGUUAGACCAAGGGGCCUAGAAUUCACUGAAAUGAAUCCUGCACUAUUUGUUUACUCGUCGACAGAUUGCACAGUGACUGGUGUGUGGACUAGAGGGACACAAUCCGUUUUCAGCAUGCAAAUAAGGCCAUUGUCUGUCUCUAAAUUGUUAGUUGCAUUCAUGUUGUUUUUAUUAAGAGCAAAGCAGGUGCCAUUCUGCUACUGAACCAUCUGUGUGUGGUAUUCGUGCUGUCUCACAGUGUCUCAUAGUUGAAAUCAUGGUAUACCGCCAUGAUUUGGCCUUUUGAAUAUUUUGCUUGCCUGUUUCAAGAUUGUCCUAAUGUUUAAUUACACUAGUAAUAUGGCUCAAUCUUUGUGGUGUUGCAGUUUUCACAUACUUACUAUUUUAUUAAUUCUUCUUUAAAUAGAGUACUGUACAAGAAUCUGAUAAUUAUAUCUGAAGUUAUUUUGUAUGGAAAUAUAUUUAGAAAAGUGGUUUCUGAGCCACCAUCUUACUCUUGCUAAGCUUUUUGUGUAAAAAAAAAUUCAUUCUUGAGUGUGUAAGUCAUUUUAUGAAGAAUUCCAAUUAUUUAAUGUUGGAGCACAUCAUAAUUGUCAACAUUGAAAGCAUCUCUGUGGUCUACCAGUUGCCCAAGGAAGGCAUGUUAGCCCUCCAGAUCAAAAUGUAUGUAAUUUCUUGAACAACCGAAGUUAGAUUCACAAUCAUUUGAAAUGUUGGCAGCUGACCACAUUUACUUCUAAUAAGAUCAAUGUGUAAGUAAGGUUCAUCUUUUGUAAUGCCUUAUGAGAAGUGGGUGCUGCUUCAUGACACUUCAUUGUAUAGCCCAUUUUAUGUUUGUACCAUUACAUUGCUGUUGUCAUUUAACGAAUACAUUGUUUUUCUUUUAUUCUGGCCUUAGGUGUGUUUCAUUGUGGCAUGCGAAAGAUUGUGAAUGAUGAUUCUAAAUGUUAGGUUUUUUAAGAACAGAUAACAUUAGCUAUUUUAUGGAUUUCAAAUAUCUCAAAAAUAAUUGUAGGUUAAAAAUGCUAGUUAUCACAUUUCCAAAACGUAUGCAUAAAAGAUAAUACAGUUUAGUAGUUAAAUAUGCUAACCAAAAUUAAGGGUUUGAGAAUAUUUUAUUUUAGCUAUUAUAAUCAGAGGGAAAUUGUAUUAUUUUAUACAUGAGUUUAUUAAAAUUCAGAACUGUGAUAAUUUCCUUGAUGUUGCUGUUUUGUUUUGGAUUAAUCUGCAAGUCACAAAAAGUCUUGUUCCCUUAAACAAUAUAAUUUUUUGAAUUUUAAAUCUUUUAAAAUUUAGUUUUCCAAAAACGUCCUUGGAAUUUGCUUUAACAAUUACUUUUAACCUCUGAAAAUUAGAGAAAUGCUUAGAAAAUAGCAAAAACUGCUUGUUUUGGAAAUCUGACAUGAGCACAAUCUGUGUGUUAAACACAUGGCUUUUAUACUGUAUACAUGAGAGAAAUGCUAUAUUUUCUAGUCAGAUGUAUCACAAAUUAAUGCCUUCUAAAUACCAAAUUGCUUCAUACAACGAAAAUACUAUAUAACUCCAAGGAACAUGCAAAAUACAGCUCAAUCUCAAUGCAUUUUAUCAUAUAAAAGACCUGAAGUUCAUAAUUUUUUAUAUUUUUUCUAAGUCAAACAGUCUAUAUAAAAGUUUUCUGAUGUUCUGACUUGUGAACAGGGGUAGGCAUGGCAGUUUUUUGUUUGUUUCUUUAUAUUUUUUAGUUCUUUGAAAAGCUCACAUGCAGAAUUUAAAAUGGUUUCAUUAGUUCCUUAAAUGCUUUGAAAAACAAUUAGGUUCAACCGAAAAUUGAAUUUAUUAUCCAGCUACAGAAAAAAAUGUUUUGUGAAAUCUAGUUCCUACAUAUUUUUAAAAUUUUUUUUACAUUGGUAUAAAUUUGUCAUACCUACAUCAAUGAUUACCAUAGUGUUUUCAAUUUGGGAGAUAAUUUUAAUUCAAAAUGAAUUGAGCACAUUUUGAAAACCACAAAUUAAGCGUAAGUGUUUUGGCUCCCAAGUCAAAACUUUAUGGCCAUAAAUAAGUUUCAGUCUGAAGAUCUCUUUCAAUUUGGUUCUUGCCUGAUCAUAUGUAAUUCCACCAUUUUCUUUGUAUUUAGGGAAAUAGUUAUAGAACUGAAAAUAGUUUAUAUAAAAUUCCUUUAUGAAAUGUUAACACAUUGACAUUUUUAUUGGAAUGCAGUGGAAGACUAUGUGCCAAAAUAUGUAAGAAUCUUAGUAUUGGUUGUCAUUCUGGAAUAGGUACACAUUUGUUUUUAUGGUCCUGAGUGAUGUGGUAUUGCUACUAGAAACCCAGAUCUCUUCAGCUAACCUCUUAUAGUAUAUCAACUGUGAGUUUCUAAGUAUGGGACUACUUUUCUGGCUAGUAGUACACUAAAUUCCCUGCUAAUUAUCCCUUAUAUCAGAUUAUAGAACUUGCAGGAAACCAAAUAUAGAGAAAAUAUACAAGCACCUCUUUUGGUUAACUUUAUAAAUAUAGGGUGCAUUAAAAAAGACUUUUAAAUAAGAACCUGUUGUCUGCAUCUGUUAAAUCACGUAAUAAACCCAAUUUAAAUUAUUCUUUAGUCUGUUAUUUCUUAAGCAAUAAAUUGUAAGAAUUGUAUUAUGUCCAUAAAAGAUUGUGUUUUCUGUUUUAUUUGCCGUAAAAGUCAUAUAUGAAAGAGUCAAGGAACUUUAGAUAAUAAAAAAUGUGUAUAGAUAUAAAGAUCACUUUAAAUGGAAGUAGUCACAUUGUUUUAAUAGAGAAAUCAAAAUAUAGCCUUUCUCUAAAUUAACAAAACACUAGGUUAAUAAGAUACUUAAGUAUGACAAAAAAGAUUUGUUGAUAAGGUAAAAAUCUGGGGAUUAGGUAACUUUACUAAUGCCUUUAGCUACUUCUAGAAAAGUGUACUAUUUCUUUACUCAUUGAACAUCUGUCCCAUACUAUUGUACCACAUUUUAUAAAUGUAGUGCGUUUGCUCAAUUAUAUUAUACACUCGUGUUACAUAAAUUUAAAGUGACUCCUUCAGAAAUAUAAAUGUUAUAUACUAUAUUGAACUAAUUUCUAGCUUUAUUAAAUAUUAAAAAGAAAGUGCCUCAUUGCUAAACGUGCAUUUCUGUUUUAGAUUUACUGUGUAAAUUUUGAGUUUUCUGUACCUGUCCCUUAUCAUUGGUUUCAUAUUUAUAUAGGCACUUGCAAGUUAGAGUAAUCACUUUUUAAAAGAUUUUCAUAAGAAUAUAGAUAUCACCAAAGACAUUUUACUGUUAAUUAGUAACCAUGUUGGAGAAACAGUUUUAGCAGUUCAGAGGUUGGCAAUUUUUAGACUGUGACUUAAUUUUUUAUAGGCAGGCAAUAACAUUGAUUAAUUCUAAAGUAUCACCAAAGAAAGGCUUUCAUGUAAAUUUUCUUGGUGAGACUAGUCAAAUGCAGGUUUUUCUUGAAAUAAUCAAAGCACAUUUGCUUUUGAACAUAUCCAGUUAUCUUAUCUCCAUCUGACACAUUUUAAGAAAUUCUUAAAUGUGAGAAAUUAAAAAACAACAAGCUUCUCUCUGAAGGAAAAGUGGGAAAAGUGCAUACUUUUGAAAGAAAAUUGAAACUGAGUUUAUAAAUUUUAAUUUGAGAUGCUUUUUGUCUCACAGACAUAACAUAAAUUGCUCUUAGCUCCUGGGCUCUUAGUAAUAUGUAAAGUUUCAUUAAAGAUAGAUUUUGAUAAAAGUGCUGAUAUGGUUAUAUAUGUAGAACAUAGUACCUUCUACUGAAUUUACAAAAAUGCUCUUUCUAUAUUUAAAAGCAAAAUUUUCCUAAGGGCCUAUGUUUCUUGUUGCUCAGCAGUUACUUCAUUGUUAUUAAAAUUUUGCCAUCACAUCCAAAUUUGGCAAAAUGGAUCACAGAACAAGAGCAUCUCUAAUACCAAAAGAGAUGUGUACCUUUAUGUCUUUUCUCCUGUGAAGUAAAACUCUACUCAUAGCUCACUAGUUAGACCCCCUCAGGAUAAAAUUAAUGCACAUUGUGUCACGUACUCUGGUGCAGAGUAAAUUUUCCAGUAAGCUAAACUUUAUGCUACCAAAAUACUGGUUGAUUAUACUAAUUUCAAAAAUGAAUUAUUUUGCCAUAAUUUUUCUGGAUUAGAAACAAAAAUUUAAACUGUUAUUAAGUUGUAUGUACCUGUUAUCCAGAGAGCAAUAAAAAAUGUUUUAUAUCUGCUAAAUAUGGUGUUUGAAAGAUUUAAAAAAAUAUUAAAGACUCAGAAGCCUUCUCAAAACACACAAAAAAAAUGGCCAGUUGUUUCUGGGUUUACUUGAUAUACCUAGUUCAGUAGUAUUUUGAUGGAAAACAGAGAUCAAAUGUUUGAAAAUACAGUUACGUAGUACAUAGUUUUCAUUGUUGUAUUUUGGUUUUUUAAGUGUUUUUUUCUGUAAUUUAAAAUUUUAUUUGCUAUUAUAGUGUCAAAAAAAAUAUUUGAGUAUUUCCUUUUAAGAAGGUUUUAAAAUUUAGCUUAAAAAUUACUUCUAAUGCUCAUGCAAAUGUCUGUAUACUCAUGCUCCUUUUUUUAUGAUUCAAAACUUAAGACUGGUUUUUCAGAAAUGAUUUUUUUAAUUUUAAUUAUAUUUAAGUCUGCAAUCAAGUGAAACAUGGGUCUAGUUUUCUUCCAUCUUAUAGAACUUCAUGAAAUAAGAAACUAAAAGUACAAAUGAAAAUUAAGUAUUUCUGGAUAAUGUAGAGAUAAUAAAAAGAUUAAUUUAUUUAUCCAUACACUUCAUAUCAAUUCACUGGAGCAGGAAUUCUACACGUUAAAAUUCUUUUGCUGUAUUUUUUAGACCAGGGAUGGGGGCCUAAGUGUCCUUAUGAAGCUGUGGUCUAUGAUGAGAGCUUGUGGGGAGAGAGGAUCCAUGUUCUGCUUUCCUGCAUCUGGCAGUGCAACAGUGAUCAUCAGUUUUUAUUAGAGUAGCCCUCACAGUAAACUACUAUAGAAUAUAUUGUAAAGUUAUGUUGCUAGUUUUACUUUGAAAUAUGAAAUAUUUUAAGCUUUUGUCAAAAGUGGUAACAUCUUAAUACAAAUAAAAACCUUUUUGUGGUUGUAAGAUUUAGCUUAUAAAUCAUUCAAAUUGAAGUGAAAGAUUUACCAGGUCAUUGUUAAUGACUUAGUCUAUUAAGAAUAUAUGUAUUUUUUUAAAAGAAAAGCACUUGUAGAUAUUUAAUCAGUACAAGAUACAUGUCUGUUUUGCAGAAAUAAAAUGCUGCUUAGAGAUUCUCUUUAAAUAUUUUUUAUUUUUGUGCCCAAAUGUAUUUUCUGUUGAUCUAUGGAAUGUUCUGUACAAAGCUGUAUGAUUGUACUGUUGAAGCUAGAUACUUUUUUUAAUCUGGACUUAGCCAAAUAUAUUUGACCAUGUUAAAGAUAGUAUCUUUGUUAUUAAAAAUUUGAUUGCAUAA